AGUAGCAGGAGGCUGGCUGACGGUGCUGAUUCAUUUCGGCGCUGAGGAAAGUCCGCCCACUCAAACCUUUUAAAAAAAAAGGUUUACGAAAAAACUGCUUUUGGCAGAAAAAUCACUCUUGAAAAGGAGUCCCAGGGAACAGAAACGGUACCCAUUCAUUUGGGUUGAAACGCGCCUUGGGUUGAACAAGCAGUCAAAUGCUUGGGAGUGCAAGUUCAAGUAACGCUAAGGUGAAUGCCGGCAGCCCUGCUUGCAGGGGUAACAGAAGGCGGCUUACUCCCUGCUGCU
Molecule: RNase P RNA, 288 nt
Filed under: Candidatus Iainarchaeum sp.
Lineage: Archaea; Nanobdellati; Candidatus Iainarchaeota; Candidatus Iainarchaeia; Candidatus Iainarchaeales; Candidatus Iainarchaeaceae
Description: RNase P RNA component
Rfam family: Archaeal RNase P
About the family: Ribonuclease P (RNase P) is a ubiquitous endoribonuclease, found in archaea, bacteria and eukarya as well as chloroplasts and mitochondria. Its best characterised activity is the generation of mature 5'-ends of tRNAs by cleaving the 5'-leader elements of precursor-tRNAs. Cellular RNase Ps are ribonucleoproteins.
Source: RNAcentral